Non-coding RNA from Schistosoma mansoni, 46 nucleotides. The record is from Rfam. Lineage: Eukaryota; Metazoa; Platyhelminthes; Trematoda; Strigeidida; Schistosomatidae.
GCACUGCUGAAGAGUCCCAUAAUAGGACGAAACGGCCGUCCAGUGU